UCUCUCUCUCUCCAACCAGAGCGGGAAAACAACACCUCCAACCCCCCCCCCCCCAUCUCUCUCUCUCUACUUUCUCUCUCUAACCCUCUCUCAUCUGCGCAUCAAGCCAUCCAAAUGUUUCCUCCAUUGACGAACCUCUCUCGUCAUGUCUCCUCUUCUCCCUCCCUCUCUCUUUCGCUUUCAGUUUCCACGUGACGCGCUCUACUUUCGUCUUCCUUCCUUGUCCAUCUUUGCCUAGCAGCUAGCUC
This 248-nucleotide long non-coding RNA is filed under the name Eucalyptus grandis. RNAcentral's name for it is "long non-coding RNA (EGRA_LNC000270)". The record is from RNAcentral. Lineage: Eukaryota; Viridiplantae; Streptophyta; Magnoliopsida; Myrtales; Myrtaceae.